CUGAAACUUAGCUGUAAUAACUCAGUGACUCUUCGGCUCUUAUUCAUAUUAUAAACCCUCGAUCACAACAAGAUCCGACCCACAUCUAUUGCUUCAAUUGCCCUUCAGUCUACCUAGAUCUUCAAUUCAGAAGCCUGAAACCUAACGCUUCUUUUUCCACCUCUCCAUCGAUUUAAUGCUCCACCGUUAUGGUAUACAAUCAACACAACCCAGUAGUUCCUCUUUCUCUUCUUUCACUGGAUGUUUAAUUCUUCGUUCCUGAUCCUUUUCCAGAGUAUAUAUAACCUUUUCAUUGGCCUCUCAAACGCAUGUACUUCCUUCUGUUUCCUUUUUAUUUGCGCGCUUAGAGAUUCUGUACAAGAAUGGCUACUUCACAACUCCAUUCGUCCAACUUGAAGGUAGGCGGGUGCAGGCAGGUUGUACAGACGCGACUCCUCCGUUUUUGGGAGUCUCGCAAUGUCGAAAAAGGAGAAGAGAGAGUUCUUUCAUGAUUUGGCUCUGCUAUUGUGGCACUCUGUUGGUUCCUGCUCUUCUACAGGCACUCUUCGUCCAUUGAAGCUGUCUGGAACCUUUACAUGGCGAAACAGAACCAAACUAUCACAGUGACACUUUAGUGGUUGGGAUUAGGAAGAAGGCGAUGGAAGAAGUUCUCUUGAGCUGGUAUAAACAAAAUUCUUAAAAGUUCAUAACAUAUUAUUAGCCUAGAUUUUUCCAUGCAUUUUCUUAGCUUUUCGAAACAGAUAAUAUUAGCCUGGGGAAGGCAGAGAUGGGUGCAUAUCAAUGUAGGAAAGCUCAAGAAUCACUGUCUCAGGCCACGCUUCCCAUAAGUUUCUGAGACAGCUUACUGGAAACUUUGGAAAAAACAAUGAGGUCAAAAUGGAUUUUAAUCCCAACCAGAGGUGUAACUAUCUCAUAUUAUUUCAUCCUAAUUCGGCUUGGUUACGUUGGCUUAGAGGAGGGUCCCAUUUCUCGCGUAAAAGUGAUAGUUAACCAUUCAGCCUUUCUCAACCAAGUAUCCCCUUCCCUUAUUAAAGAAAUUUGAUAAUGAAAUGAGGCAGGCUGUACUAGCACUAGCAGUGUGUUCAAAAGAGUUUGGCUCUUGGUAGGCAAGACGGUCUUUUUUUUUGUUACGAAAUCCAUGUAAAAUGCUAAAUUGUUCAACAGAUCAGGACGGUACUCUUUUCUGAUUGUUGCUAGGAUGGUAGCACAUGCGACAGAGUUAUUGAUAGUUGGAAGCGAUGAAGGAGAAGUGUUUGCACAUGAGGAGCAGCAAAAUUUGGGUGGAAUCAACAUGGAAAAGCUCCAUAGACUUGACUAUGCUCAAGUCUUUCUUCUUAUGCUCUGACUCUGAAGUCCUUUUUUUGCGGAUAGCUCCUUUUAUCUAUCAUCUUGCACAAAACAGGAAUUAGGCUUUUUAAACUGUUGUUCUGUUGGCAGCCACCACAAGAAAAUCAGUUGCUUUUAGUGUGAAAAUUGUCUCUCUCAUACAUUGUUACUUUGUCAAGUUAUGCCAUUUUAAUUAAAAAAUUGUGUGUUCGUA
This is a long non-coding RNA of Raphanus sativus (radish), 1540 nucleotides long. RefSeq lists it as uncharacterized. Lineage: Eukaryota; Viridiplantae; Streptophyta; Magnoliopsida; Brassicales; Brassicaceae. The transcript has 3 exons. The record is from RefSeq and is a predicted model, not a curated record.